CAAUGAGUCAGGCCCAAACCCAACCAUGGCGGCCAAUAAGCAAAUAUCCUGCUGAAAUAACAUGCCUAAGCCAAACGCAUAAGCUGAAACGCUUAUCAGUAAGCAGCACAAAACGCUCAUGAAUGUCGAACAUCGCGUUCUUCAUCCUUGCUCGUAUCCAGUCCAAUCACCAGCAUCAUCGUGUUUCAGAUUCUUCUGCUCGCGUCAAUCGUUGUCGUGCUUCAGCAACCACCGUGGAGCAUUGCGUUUUCAUAAUUGUUUAAAGCUCCAAAUCCGAUCGCAGCGAGCCACACGAAGAAAAGCGCCCUAAUCAUCAACUCAUAUUCCGAAUUCUCCAUCACCAGCUCCGUUCAGAAUCGCAACCAUACACACGCAAAAAACGAAAAAACGACGUCAAGAAAAGUGGAUCCAGGGCGUACCGGAUGGAUGCUUCGAUGGUAAAUAAGUAAUCAAGCAAGGCAUAAUCCAAGCUAGUGGAAAUCAAUUAUGGUGAAGAUGAUGGAUGAAGAAAGAUGAAGAUGAUGGAUAGGGUUUUAGUAAUCGAAGUAAUAUUGACUUUGGUCAACAAUUGACCAAAAAGUCAACUCUUACCAAAACUCCAUUUUUGUAAAUGUUUGUAUUUAUGGACAAUGUAACUUGUGAUUUGGAUGAAAUGUAAUAAAUAGUGAAAAGUUUAUUUAUAUAA
Molecule: long non-coding RNA, 685 nt
Organism: Lathyrus oleraceus (garden pea)
Lineage: Eukaryota; Viridiplantae; Streptophyta; Magnoliopsida; Fabales; Fabaceae
Exons: 2
Source: RefSeq, a predicted model, not a curated record